This 253-nucleotide ribosomal RNA is filed under the name uncultured bacterium. RNAcentral's name for it is "partial 16S ribosomal RNA". It matches the Rfam family "Bacterial small subunit ribosomal RNA", at positions 524 to 776 of the family's 1533-position model. The record is from RNAcentral.
GACGUAGGGCGCGAGCGUUGUCCGGAUUUAUUGGGCGUAAAGAGUCCGUAGGCGGCAUGUUAGGUGAGGUGUGAAAUCCCCCGGCUCAACCGAGGAAUUGCGCUUCAAACCGGCGUGCUAGAGGAAGAUAGAGGUGGGCGGAACUGAUGGUGGAGCGGUGAAAUGCGUUGAUAUCAUCAGGAACACCGGAGGCGAAAGCGGCCCACUGGGUCUUUUCUGACGCUGAGGGACGAAAGCUAGGGGAGCGAACGGG